This 742-nucleotide ribosomal RNA is filed under the name uncultured Verrucomicrobium sp. Its description in RNAcentral is "bacterial SSU rRNA". It matches the Rfam family "Bacterial small subunit ribosomal RNA", at positions 699 to 1440 of the family's 1533-position model. Lineage: Bacteria; Pseudomonadati; Verrucomicrobiota; Verrucomicrobiia; Verrucomicrobiales; Verrucomicrobiaceae. The record is from RNAcentral.
GAGAGGAACACUCGUGCCGAAGGCGAGUCACUGGACAGUAUCUGACGCUGAGGCACGAAGGCCAGGGUAGCGAAAGGAUUUAGAUACCCCUGUAGUCCUGCCAGUAAACGGUGUGCGCUUGGUGUGAGGGGAUUCGACCCCCCUUGUGCCGGAGCUAACGCGUUAAGCGCACCGCCUGGGAAGUACGGCCGCAAGGCUAAAACUCAAAGAAAUUGACGGGGACCCGCACAAGCGGUGGAGUAUGUGGCUUAAUUCGAUGCAACGCGAAGAACCUUACCAAGGCUUGACAUGCAUCUCUAAGCGCGUGAAAGCGCGUGACCCUUCGGGGGAUUUGCACAGGUGCUGCAUGGCCGUCGUCAGCUCGUGUCGUGAGAUGUUGGGUUAAGUCCCGCAACGAGCGCAACCCUUGUGACUAGUUGCCAGCACGUCAUGGUGGGAACUCUAGUCAGACUGCCCAGAUCAACUGGGAGGAAGGUGGGGACGACGUCAGGUCAGUAUGGCCCUUACGCCUUGGGCUGCACACGUACUACAAUGCCCAGCACAAUGAGAACCGAGACCGCGAGGUGGAGGAAAUCUGCAAAACUGGGCCCAGUUCGGAUUGGAGGCUGCAACUCGCCUCCAUGAAGCCGGAAUCGCUAGUAAUGACGCAUCAGCUACGGCGUUGUGAAUACGUUCCCGGGUCUUGUACACACAGCCCGUCACAUCAUGGAAGCCGGUCGCACCCGAAGUGCCUGAGCCAACC